This 563-nucleotide long non-coding RNA is filed under the name Nicotiana benthamiana. RNAcentral describes it as "long non-coding RNA (NBEN_LNC034931)". The record is from RNAcentral. Lineage: Eukaryota; Viridiplantae; Streptophyta; Magnoliopsida; Solanales; Solanaceae.
CUAAUUACAAGUCCCAAAAUAAGUCGCAAAUGUUCAUGGCAUAACACUGUUUUAAACAUACUAAAACAGAAAGUAUAGAUUAACAAUUUGAAUGAAAAAGAAAAACAGAGGAAAACAACUAGCAAGUAUGGAGAUCUUCAUUUGUUGAAUGAAAAAGAAAAACAAAGGAAAACAUCUAGCAAGUAUGGAGAUCUUCAUUUCUUCAAAACACAUGAACCCUUCUUACAUGUAUAGAAUAAGGAUAUGUACCUGGAAGUUAAGAUGGAAAUAAGGAGAUUAUUUAAUCUAAGAAGCAAUAAAGCCAGCCUAGAAUUCGCAGUCAAAGAGUGAAACCAGCUAAAAAACUCAAUGGAGCAAUUAACCCACACCCAAGCUUGAACCAAAACUUUCCAAAACACAACUUCAAUCUAUUUCAACCCCAGGAGAAGAAACUAUGAUUUUUAGAGGUUUUUGUUAACCAAAUGAAAUCAGAAGACUCAGCAACGAGCAGAAUUUGAACAGUUUUUGAAAUAAAAAUGUGAGAAAUUCAGGAUUCUCAAGAACUCGGCCGUUUUAGUUUUCUC